RNAcentral lists this transfer RNA (75 nucleotides) under Anatilimnocola aggregata. RNAcentral's name for it is "Planctomycetes bacterium ETA_A8 tRNA-Glu". It matches the Rfam family "tRNA". Rfam says of the family: Transfer RNA (tRNA) molecules are approximately 80 nucleotides in length. Their secondary structure includes four short double-helical elements and three loops (D, anti-codon, and T loops). Further hydrogen bonds mediate the characteristic L-shaped molecular structure. tRNAs have two regions of fundamental functional importance: the anti-codon, which is responsible for specific mRNA codon recognition, and the 3' end, to which the tRNAs corresponding amino acid is attached (by aminoacyl-tRNA synthetases). tRNAs cope with the degeneracy of the genetic code in two manners: having more than one tRNA (with a specific anti-codon) for a particular amino acid; and 'wobble' base-pairing, i.e. permitting non-standard base-pairing at the 3rd anti-codon position. The record is from RNAcentral. Lineage: Bacteria; Pseudomonadati; Planctomycetota; Planctomycetia; Pirellulales; Pirellulaceae.
UGGCCCCAUCGUCUAGCGGUCUAGGACACCGCCCUUUCACGGCGGUAACACGGGUUCGAGUCCCGUUGGGGUCAU